Molecule: long non-coding RNA, 636 nt
Filed under: Mus musculus (house mouse)
Lineage: Eukaryota; Metazoa; Chordata; Mammalia; Rodentia; Muridae
Also listed under: 1 other name
Description: predicted gene, 50277
Source: RNAcentral
UAGACACGCUGAGUUGCUAGGCUGCUGGUUUGUCUCCACCAGAGCACACAGCCCACCGCAUGCCAGCUUUCUGGAUUUUGCCUCCAGUUUGCCCCAGGUGCAUAAGAAAUUCUUCUUCAAAUUGAGAUGCUGAGGGCGACCCCAUAGGAAGACUAGCAGUCUCAACUAACCUGGACCCCUGAGAUCUCUCAGACACUGAGUGACCAACCAGGCAGCAUACAACCAGCUGAUAUGAGGCCCCCAACACAUAUACAGCAGAGGACUGCCGGGUCUGGCCUCAGUGGGAGAAGAAGCACCUAACCCCUGGAGAGGCUUGAGGCCCCGCGGAGUGAAGAGAUGUGGUGUUGCAUGCCGGUGAUCCCAGCAUCCAGAGGCGGAGGCAGGAGAAUCAGAAGCUCACGGUGAUCCAGGACUACAAAGCAGUCUCAGGAACUUCUUGAAUGUAAAAAAAGUAAAAUUUCAGUCAACCGUGCCAUGUUAAGCCGCAGUAAGACCAGGCACUUCCCCCUAUGCUAAGGCUGGACAAGGCAACACAACAAGAGGAAAGAAAAGAGCCUGAGACAGCCCUCGCUCCCACUGUUAGGAGUCCCAGGAAAAGACAGAGCUACGUAACUAUAACACACACGCAGAGGGCCU